RNAcentral lists this unclassified non-coding RNA (224 nucleotides) under uncultured Gemmatimonadaceae bacterium. RNAcentral's name for it is "contains 16S-23S intergenic spacer region". It matches the Rfam family "Bacterial small subunit ribosomal RNA", at positions 976 to 1198 of the family's 1533-position model. Lineage: Bacteria; Pseudomonadati; Gemmatimonadota; Gemmatimonadia; Gemmatimonadales; Gemmatimonadaceae. The record is from RNAcentral.
UGGGCUUGACAUCUUGGGGAAAGCCGGUGGAAACAUCGGCCCCUCUUCGGAGUCCGUGCACAGGUGCUGCAUGGCUGUCGUCAGCUCGUGUCGUGAGAUGUUGGGUUAAGUCCCGCAACGAGCGCAACCCUCGUCCCUAGUUACCAGCGGGUUAUGCCGGGCACUCUAGGGAGACUGCCGGUGUCAAACCGGAGGAAGGUGGGGAUGACGUGUGCGUAACAGAA